Long non-coding RNA from Ursus thibetanus thibetanus, 5327 nucleotides. The record is from Ensembl. Lineage: Eukaryota; Metazoa; Chordata; Mammalia; Carnivora; Ursidae.
AUGGGCAUAACUAAAGACAACCAAAGGAGAAGUCUGGGAAGUGGUAAGAGGAAGGCGAACUGGUUUGACGCCCCAUGGCUGGAAGAACACAGUAGUGGGUGUCUUAGACCUCCCCCCCAACAGCAGGUGGGCCGACCUAACACAAAGGAGGGCCCGGGCUGGAGCAGGAAUCCCUCUAGCAACAGCCUCCCCCAGCACAAAGAGGCCCUGCUAAUAGUAAGCAGCAAGGGGAAACGCUCCUUCUCCCACCCAGACCCAGCGUUCCAGAGGGUGGGGGCACAACUGGCACCCUGCCAAGGUGGCCUCUGUGUCCUCAAUGGCCCGAGGCCCUUGGUGGCCAGGGUACCUGGUGCAGGUGAGGGUUCUCGCCAUAACCAGCACAUGCUCUCUGUCUCCACAGGCAGCAGAGACCCAGCACAAGCCCCGGGAAGCCUCGUUCUCCCCCAGGAAACCCCUUCCAGAGACCCCGCAUCCCAGCCUGUGGGUGAACCUCGGGAUACACAGGGGAUCGGUGUCUUUGAAGGACGUGACUGUGGGCUUCAGCCAGGAGGAGUGGCAGCACCUGACCCCACGCAGAGGACCCUGUACACAGAUGGGAUGCUUGAGAACUGCCACCACCUGGCUUCUGUGGGGUGUCCAGUUCCUCCAGCAGAUGUGAUCUUCAAGUUGGAGUGAGAAGAGCCAGGGAUGGAUGAGGAGAGAACUGCAGGUGAUCCCUGCGUAGGUGGGGAGAGAGGGAACUAAAACUCCAGUGAGCGAGUAAGAGGCUGGCCUUUCUCAGUGUGACCUCGGCUUUUUAAGACUCCAAGCAAGAGUAUCACAGAAAUCCCGUGACCCUCAGGUGCGUACCUCUCCCAGCAGCUGCCUCCCGGCUUGAGCAGCAGGUGACGCUCUCACUGCCGCCAGAGCUCACUUUGGGUCUUCUCACCAGGCUGUGCCUUUGUGGUCUGUCGCUGUCCCCCCAGCACCCCUAUUUUCCCUCAUUCAUGCUGUGAGUUUAGAUUCAUCCCUUUGUGCACCGAGGCCCCAAGGGAUCUACCUUCUUUCCAGAUUACUGUGUGAUACUCCUCGUCCUCAGUCCCUUUUCAUCUCUGUCAAAGUGACCCUCUUACCACUUGCCAUCCUCAACUCUUACACCUGUUGUGACUUUGUUAAAAUAACAUCUGUAAAGUAGAACCCCAGACUGUACAGUGGUGAGCUGCAUUCAACCAAGGCCACAAAGGAAUCUAAAUGGAGACAUUUACUACUCACAAGCCUUGGAGGAGACACACACAGACCCUGAGGGGCCUUGCUGUGUGGACAAGGCAGGAUGCAGGCAGAGCCAGCACAACAGAACCUGGGGUUCAUGCCUUUUUAGGGUCUGUGAGUGCUGUGGGGUUUCUGGGUUAGGGCUGGCUUUGGUAAGUUUUGGGGAGGAAGGGAGUUCUGAUGUAAGCGGUAUGUAAGGGGAAGGCUCCGUGAGGCAGGGGAGACUGCUUAUCACAGGGCUGAUGAGGAAAUCAUAUCGGAAACUUACAAUUAUUUGUGACGCAGCCGGCUGUUAUUUAGGGCACACACUAGAAGGAGGUGCAAGCAUCACUUCAAGGCUUCUGCAGGCCAUUUGGCUGGAAAUGGGUUGCUGACACAGACAUAUUACAGAGCAGUUUAGCCAAAUUCUCAACAAUAACAAUACAAAAACUAAUUUAAGAUGUAAACUAAUGUGUUUGAAAGUAAAAGUCUUGGGGCGCCUGGGUGGCUCAGUCGUUAAGCAUCUGCCUUCAGCUCAGGGCGUGAUCCCAGGGUCCUGGGAUCGAGCCCCAUGUCGGGCUCCCUGCUCCACUGGGAGCCUGCUUCUUCCUCUCCCACUCCCCCUGCUUGUGUUCCCUCUCUCGCUGGCUGUCUCUCUCUGUCAAAUAAAUAAAUAAAAUCUUAAAAAAAAAAAAAAAAAGAAGCAGCAUUCCCCAUAACACCAGACACUAGAGGAGGAUAGCCACAAUCACCAUGACUACUGAGGAUUGUCCUGGAGGUUCCAGACGUCAUUGUGAGACCAACCAACAAAACAAAACCAAACCAGAAACAAAGGAUUGAAAAUAAGGAAAUAAAACACUCAAGGUUCACAGAAAUAAAGGUCCACAGAGUAUACAGACAAUUAGGCUGAACAAGAGUUUAGCAAGGUUGCUAGGUAAUGAUGGACUGACUACACAGUGGAGAGUACCUUCAGCUAAGCCUCUCUGAGAAACAAACUCUCUCCCAGAGAUGGUGCAGGAUGGCAUUAAGCUCAAGACCAUCAAGUGGGCCCCACACUAGAAGUGUGGACCUCUGACUUUGUGCUGGCCUUGAGACAGGGAAACUAAAGGGACCCCAUGAAGAGCUGCUUUUUUGCUCCCUUUCCUGCUUCUUUUCUUGCUAGGACCUGCACCCCCCCUUACACACGCCUUAUAGUACAGAUAAUGUGUGUCGUCCUUAUAAAGGUCAAAGAGUUAAUGAUUUCUUUAACUCCCAGCACAACAGAGAACACCUGAGGAGUGACCAGUCGGGGUCAUCAUGCCAAGACCCCUGGCUCCAAGGCAUAGGUGACUUACGGAGAACACCUAAACACUCGUUUUCGUUGCUGGAUGCGAGAGGACACGUGCAUCAGACCACAACCCUCAAUAAAAACCCCAGACACCAAGCAAAGAUGAGACUCACUCUUCCUCUCAAGCCUCCCGGACCCUCUGUCUGUACCUGUUCUCUUUCUAGGUCUUCCACAAACUCUGCUCUCACCUCCUCAACUCACAUUUUAUUUCUACCCUGCCCAAAGCCAAGCGCCCUCUUGGCAGGUCCUUGGACCCAGCCAGGCUUCGUCAGCUUGGGCUUUGCUGCCCCACCAACCCACGCAAAGCUGGGCACCUUGUUACACCUCACAAGGGCUCCAUGUUCAAACUAGAAUUACUAUAUCCCAGUUUACUUCAGCAUCAGUCCACCUCCAAGGUAGAAACCCAAGAAAACCAUCUUUCUGCAGUCUCAGCUCCUUUAGCAAGGAAUACUCCCCAUUUCUCUCCAGGAGUCCUUCUCUGCUCCUAUAGUGGGUGGAUGUUCUCCCGAAACAGUGGGGACAUUUGCUAGGAUUUUGCUGCUGGACAUGUCUGUGUCUUUGGUGGGAGAACCAGAGGAACUGGAAGGCUUUGUUCAGAGACAUGAUGCUCUAUUUGGACAUUUGAGUUGUCGUUUCCUACUGUUCAGUGAGACUGACUCCUUGAGGAACAAGCAUAAUCAACAAUGAUUUAAUCUUUCUUUGUGGCUCCAAAGGUCACCUCUUCAUAUUGACUGUAGACCAAACAGCAAGUUUCUUUGAAGGCUUGUCUCCUUUCUGUUCUUGUUCUCCUUCCUUUCUUUUGACCUAAUACAACUAGGAAUAUCUAUAUGACUCUACCCAUUAUUCUAGUAAUUUUUCUUUUUUUUUUUAAUUUUUAAAUUUUUUUAAAGAUUUUAUUUAUUGGAGGGAGGGAGGGAGAGCGCGUGCACAUGCACAUGAGCAGGGGGAGGGGGAGGGGCAGAGGGAGAGGGAGAAGCAGACUGCCCACUGAGCAGGGAGCCCAACACAGGACUUGAUUCCAGGACCCUGGGAUCAUGACCUGAGCCGAAGUCAGAUGCUUAAUUGACUGAGCCACCCAGGCGCCACAAAACAUCUUUUUUCUGUAACCUUUUCUACUUUGUAAAUUUAUUGGUAUGCCUGUGUAUUUGUGUGUUUUACCAUGCAUAUAUCAUUCGAAAGGAUAAAUUAAUUUAAAAUAUUUGGCCAAUCUAAUGGGUUGCUCUAAUGGUAGCUCUAACUGCAUUUUUUCCCAACAAUAUCCUAUUAUUCUUUAACACUGAUUAUUUUACACAUAAGCCAUAAUAAAAUCCGCAGGACACUCUCCCCAACCCCACCUCUGGCAUCCAGAGUGGUUUUUAAAAGAGAAACAGAUCUGUUUACUCCCCUGCUUUAAAACUCUCCAGUGGCUUCCCACAGUCACCCUGCCGCCAUCUUCCUCACUGCACUUACUACAGAAAACCACCUUCCUCACCUGUCUGUAUUUAUACAUACUGCCUGUCACCGACUCCAUAACAUGGUAUCUUUACCUGGAUCACUGGAUAUUAUUACACACAGGUGCACAAUAAUUCCUGAAUAAAAGAGUCUGAGUAAAGGAAUGCAAGGAAGACAUGUUUCUGUUCAGUGGCCUAAGCGAAGAUGCCAUAUAGCCUCCGACUCAGACACAGCUCCUAGUUCACUCAGCUAUCCACAAGAGAAUGACUGUGAUCAAAUUAUCAGAAAUUAAUUAAUAUAAAAGUUGACACCUCAAUUCAGUAAAAAGUGGAUGACAUUACAAUCAUCCCGUGUGAAGAAGAAAAUAAAAUUACAUGGAGAAAAUAUAACUUAAUAGCUAACAUCUGUUGAGCAAUCAAUCUGUGCCACAGUCGUGUAUUAACUCACUUAAUUCUCCCAGUGGAGACACACAGUGCUCUGAAGAAAGUUGCGCAGGGUCACCAGGGUACUAAAUGGUGGCGCAAGAGCUAAAAAUUCAGGAGGCAUCUUGAAUGUGGUGAUGGUUACACAAAAUGCUUAAAUUCUACACCAAAAAGAGAUUAUUUUAUUGAGUGUCAAUUAAAAGUAACUUUCUAAAAAUUCACAGGGCAAUGAUUAUGAGACUGCAGACUAUUUAAAGGGAGACAUGACUUAGCACCAAGCACAUGAAUGUACUAUACUAUCAACUAUUAAAAUUUCCACCUGUGAUCAGGGUACCACGAGGUCUCUACCACCUGAGCCCCGAGAGUGACCACCCCCCAUCAGUUCGCCACUGACCUCACCAGAUCCUCAUCUCUAAACUUCAGGACCCAAAUGCGCAGCCACGGACCAACGUUACUAGCCCACAGAGUCCGCGUCCCUGGCCCGACGGUCACGCCGCCAGCGAGCACACAGCCCCGCGUGCCGGUCCCACGCCGGACCCCUGAACCUCAGGGUCACAACCAUCCUCACUGAGCCCACGCGCGCGAACGCUGACCUCGCAGGUGUCGCAUCACGAGCCGGGGCACCGCGCCACGAACCCAGCCAUCACUGACAGACCAGUCAAACGCUCCGGCCGCAGGUUUCUGGGCUCGCGGAGACACCGGCGACCGCACACACGCCGUUCUAGAGCAACUUCCGCCCGUGGAACCGCCCCCGGCUCCGGCCCCGGAACUACGGUGGCCGCGAGGGGGGGGCUGCGCACUCCUGGCUGGACCGCGACCGGCGCCCGCCAUCCGCGAACCUGGGCCCACUGUCGCCGGCCGCCGCGCGCUUCGCGGGGACCCGGGAUGCUCGCGGGCAGAUUCGGUCCGCAGGUGGGCAG